AAACAAACCAAUCGUACGCUCGCUCGCUCAUCAAUUUCAGCAGCCAUUCCACGACCGCCCAGAGAAGACUCGCCUCCUCCCGAGCUCCCCUCUCCGUCCUCGUCGUCUCCCUCUCCCGCUUCCCCCCACCCAACCAACACGCUACGCCAGGCGCGAGAGGCACCAGCGGCCAUGAAGGGCGGCGGAGCCAUCAGGAGCGGCGGCGGGGGAGGCGGCGGGCUGAUGCGGACGCGGCUGCGGCUCCCCGUGGUGCUCCUCUCCUGCUCCCUCUUCUUCCUCGCCGGCUUCCUCGGCUCCCUCCUCUUCACCCAGGAUCCGCAGGGGGAGGAGGACGUGGAGCGGCCGCUGCGGAGGGAGCGGCUCAUGGAGGCGGUCUGGCCGGAGAUGGCGUACGGGGAGUCCGGCGAGCCCACGCCCUCCUUGAUCCCUUACCAGAUUUUGAGCUGGCAACCCCGUGCAUUAUAUUUUCCACAAUUUGCAACAGCAGAACAGUGUGAGAAUGUAGUAAAAACUGCGAAGGCACGGCUUAGGCCAUCAACAUUGGCCUUAAGGAAAGGAGAAAGCGAGGAGACUACCAAAGGAAUAAGGACAAGCUCAGGCACAUUCCUUAGUGCCGAAGAAGAUCCAACUGGAGCCCUUGCAGAAAUUGAAAAGAAGAUUGCGAAGGCUACCAUGAUGCCAAGAAGUCAUGGAGAGCCAUUUAAUGUCCUUCGGUAUGAGAUUGGACAGAAGUAUGCUUCACACUAUGAUGCAUUUGACCCGGCUCAAUAUGGUCCACAAAAAAGUCAAAGGGUGGCAUCUUUCUUGCUCUACCUCACGGAUGUCGAGGAAGGUGGAGAAACCAUGUUCCCAUAUGAGAAUGGGGAUAAUAUGAACAUAGGCUACGACUACGAACAGUGCAUCGGCUUAAAGGUGAAACCGAGGAAGGGGGAUGGCCUCUUGUUUUACUCCCUUAUGCUAAAUGGUACCAUUGAUCCGACUUCACUUCAUGGAAGCUGCCCAGUGGUCAAAGGAGAGAAAUGGGUCGCCACAAAAUGGAUUAGAGACAGAGGCUCCACGUCCUAAAUAGAUCAACACAUACAUAGUAAUCAUUUUUUUCUACACCAUCUUGUACCUGUACAUUACAUUUAUUCAAUUUCCAUCGGCCUUCAUGAACCAGUGAGGUAGGGGAAAAAACAACUUGCAGUUUCCAUCUGCUAAUUUGACAGUCGUGUUAGUCUAAUCUUGGUGGCUGGGUCAUGUAUCUUUUCUUUUCUACUUCCUUCGUCCCAGAAUAUACCUGAACUUAUAGCUUUGUCGUAAGUCAAACAUUUGCUUAUGUUUGACUAACUCUAGAAAAAUAUGAACAUCAACUGUAUAUAAAAUAAUAUUAUGUUGUAGAUAAUGGUACUCCCUCC
Molecule: ribosomal RNA, 1397 nt
Filed under: Triticum aestivum (bread wheat)
Lineage: Eukaryota; Viridiplantae; Streptophyta; Magnoliopsida; Poales; Poaceae
Description: partial small subunit ribosomal RNA
Source: RNAcentral